Xyrichtys novacula (pearly razorfish) is the source of this 1523-nucleotide non-coding RNA. The record is from the annotation of a GenBank genome assembly. NCBI's taxonomy places the organism in Eukaryota, Metazoa, Chordata, Actinopteri, Labriformes, Labridae.
CUCUAAGACAAACCAUAUCUUUCCUCUCGCGAUACUUUUAGGAUUUUCCAAUGAAAUCAAUUCCACGUUUGGGUCUAUUUUAUCAAGAGGGACGGAAUAAAGAUGCUUGUCUCUCAACUCUGAACCAUUGUCCAUUUCAGCACCAUGGACAGCAGCCCGUCUGAACGGCAACAUGCAAGUCUUGUCUUGAGUUUUCUUCAUUUCUUAGUCAGUUUAGGUGAUUGUUUGAUUAUGAAGAAAGUGAACAGAUGAGCAAUGAAUGAAAAACAUAACCAGCUGUUGUGCACUUUUUAGGCAUACAUCAGAUGCUCUUUAUUUCUGUGACUUGCAUCACAUUUAAGGUGAGUCAUCACAUGUCAGUUGUGAUGGGAUUUAGCAUCCAUUUCACAUAUAAUCAUUAUGUCUGCUUUACCCUUAGUGUGUGUGAUGAGUUUCUUUUGGCUGUAUACAAAAUGUUCUCCCUGGGAUUUAAAGUUUAAGGGAAAAGGGUAGAAAAUCGUGCCAAAAAAAAAAAAAAAAACCUUCAUUAAAAAACAGCUGUGUCUUGCUAUUUGACAUCAAGACAAGAUUACAUUAUCCAAGAUCAAAACAGAUGUAAAGAUCUGGUGAAAGAACAUUUAUUAGUCAAACAGCUCCCUAUUUAGAUGAAGCUAUUUGUUACGAUCAAUCAGUGUUUGUCUGAUUUACUUGAAAUAUCUAAAGUCUGCUUAUGUAUUAGGUACUGUUUCUGUAAAUCAAUUCAGUUAUGUGGAAUGUAUGUUGAUAUUUGAACAUCUGAUUAUUUCAGAACUAUAGCUACACUGUGACAAUGAAUAAGGUACAGUAAUAUGUGUAUGUUGUUUGUUUUGUUCUAGUUUUGUUGUUUUGUUUUUGUCUUGUAGGCUGUUGUGAGUUAUUGACGAUAUCUUUGUGUUUGUCGUGUGAUGUUUUUUUGUGUCUUUGCACUGCGACAGAGAGCUAAUUGUAAAUGUAGACUUCAGGAAGAAUAGCGAUGGCCUUAGCCAAAGCUGAUGGAAAUCUAAAUAAAUGAAAUAUAUAUAUCUUUGCAGAGCUCAAAGGUGGUUCCAUAUGUGGUCAAGAAAUGAGGGUACCAUAUUUUAAGAAAUGGUACUCCAACUCAAAACUUUAGUGAGUUAUAGGUGCUGAAGCGAAAACUGUUGCAACCAUACCCAAUUUCCCCAACUUUGAGUUUCUCUUCUACACUGUUAUAUAAUAGCUACCAUUUUGAACUGAACUCUAAAAUCCCUCAACUCUUUCUUCACAAAAAGCUGUCUGAACUGUAUGUUUAAAGCUCUUUAAAACUGUAUAGACAAAUGAAACCAAAAGAAACAGUCAUCAAAAACCUAAUUGUAAAUAGGAGCCUAUCUGAAAGGGUUUUAAAGUGUAUUUUGUUUAUACAUUACAUUUUUUUCAUGGCCUGUGAACUACAGAUGGACCAGUUCAUCAUUUGGCCUAUUUAGGUUUUUGGCAUUUUAACAUAAUUGGCAUCAUAUGGACAUCAGCCCUCACAAGGCCAAUAAUCA